AGCAGUGCCACGGUAAUACGAAGGGUGCAAGCGUUACUCGGAAUUACUGGGCGUAAAGCGUGCGUAGGUGGUGGUUUAAGUCCGUUGUGAAAGCCCUGGGCUCAACCUGGGAAUUGCAGUGGAUACUGGGUCACUAGAGUGUGGUAGAGGAUAGUGGAAUUUCCGGUGUAGCAGUGAAAUGCGUAGAGAUCGGAAGGAACAUCUGUGGCGAAGGCGACUAUCUGGGCCAACACUGACACUGAGGCACGAAAGCGUGGGGAGCAAACAGGAUUAGAUACCCCUGUAGUCCCUGUCUCUUAUACA
This 303-nucleotide ribosomal RNA is filed under the name uncultured bacterium. RNAcentral's name for it is "partial 16S ribosomal RNA". It matches the Rfam family "Bacterial small subunit ribosomal RNA", at positions 507 to 808 of the family's 1533-position model. The record is from RNAcentral.